This 314-nucleotide ribosomal RNA is filed under the name uncultured bacterium. RNAcentral describes it as "partial 16S ribosomal RNA". It matches the Rfam family "Bacterial small subunit ribosomal RNA", at positions 499 to 807 of the family's 1533-position model. The record is from RNAcentral.
UUAUAAGAGACAGCAGUAGCCACGGGAAUACGGAGGGAGCUAGCGUUGUUCGGAAUUACUGGGCGUAAAGCGCGCGUAGGCGGUUACUCAAGUCAGAGGUGAAAGCCCGGGGCUCAACCCCGGAACUGCCUUUGAAACUAGGUGACUAGAAUCUUGGAGAGGUCAGUGGAAUUCCGAGUGUAGAGGUGAAAUUCGUAGAUAUUCGGAAGAACACCAGUGGCGAAGGCGACUGACUGGACAAGUAUUGACGCUGAGGUGCGAAAGCGUGGGGAGCAAACAGGAUUAGAUACCCCGGUAGUCCCUGUCUCUUAUAC